CCUACGGGGGGCAGCAGUGGGGAAUAUUGGGCAAUGGGCGCAAGCCUGACCCAGCAACGCCGCGUGAAGGAAGAAGGCUUUCGGGUUGUAAACUUCUUUUCUCAGGGACGAAGGAAGUGACGGUACCUGAGUUAUAAGCCACGGCUAACUACGUGCCAGCAGCCGCGGCAAUACGUAGGUGGCAAGCGUUAUCCGGAUUUACUGGGUGUAAAGGGCGUGUAGGCGGGACUGCAAGUCAGAUGUGAAAACCAUGGGCUCAACCUAUGACCUGCAUUUGAAACUGUAGUUCUUGAGUACUGGAGAGGCAGGCGGAAUUCCUAGUGUAGCGGUGAAAUGCGUAGAUAUGAGGAGGAACACCAGUGGCGAAGGCGGUCUGCUGGACAGCAACUGACGCUGAGGCGCGAAAGCGUGGGGAGCAAACAGGAUUAGAUACCCGGGUAGUC
RNAcentral lists this ribosomal RNA (443 nucleotides) under uncultured bacterium. RNAcentral's name for it is "partial 16S ribosomal RNA". It matches the Rfam family "Bacterial small subunit ribosomal RNA", at positions 338 to 795 of the family's 1533-position model. The record is from RNAcentral.